This 571-nucleotide long non-coding RNA is filed under the name Homo sapiens (human). RNAcentral describes it as "HSALNT0002327". The record is from RNAcentral. Lineage: Eukaryota; Metazoa; Chordata; Mammalia; Primates; Hominidae.
UUCUUGAUAGCCAGGCAGAUAAUUCUCAGGUUUUGCCCCACAGAAUCUCUAUCUAAAAUAGAGCAGUGGUCAUGCCUAGUGAAAAGUUUGAGGGAACUCGCCCAAUGUUGGGUUUCUUCAGAGCCAUAUAUAUAGAUAUAACCAAAUAUCCUAAAAGACACUGCCCUUCAUCAUUCCAUGCCGUUAGACAUUUACAGGACCAUGGAUGGUGAUCUCCUCCAGACAAAAAUAAAUGCUGGUGCAGAACAGGACGAUUGCCUGCAAGACAGGGCCUGGAGAAGGCCAGGGCACCCAAGGCCACAGAAAUGCCCAGGGAUGAGUCCCGGCUGGAGAUGCCUUGGCUGAACUCACUGUGUACUUCCAGGGUGCACAGGGCAGUGUCUUCUUGGUACUACACAUGAAGAUGUCCUGCUCUCCCCUUCUCAAGGAGAGAGUGCCUGACCUGAGCUGGGCCCAUCAGAUCCAGUACUUACCCGGAAUAGGAAAAAGAUGGAGAGGGUGACCAAAGAUUACAAAAAUCUCUGAAGCUUAUCCACUUGAGAGAGAGUCCCUGAAGAUACUGGCCUUUCAU